AUUGAACGCUGGCGGAAUGCUUUACACAUGCAAGUCGAACGGCAGCACGGACUUCGGUCUGGUGGCGAGUGGCGAACGGGUGAGUAAUAUAUCGGAACGUGCCCAGUCGUGGGGGAUAACGUAGUGAAAAUUACGCUAAUACCGCGUACGAUCUACGAAUGAAAGCGGGGGAUCGCAAGACCUCGCGCAAUUGGAGCGGCCGAUAGCAGAUUAGGUAGUUGGUGAGGUAAAUGCUCACCAAGCCGACGAUCUGUAGCUGGUCUGAGAGGACGACCAGCCACACUGGAACUGAGACACGGUCCAGACUCCUACGAGAGGCAGCAGUGGGGAAUUUUGGACAAUGGACGCAAGUCUGAUCCAGCCAUUCCGCGUGCAGGACGAAGGCCUUCGGGUUGUAAACUGCUUUUGUACAGAACGAAAAGGUCUCUAUUAAUACUAGGGGCUCAUGACGGUACUGUAAGAAUAAGCACCGGCUAACUACGUGCCAGCCGCCGCCGUAA
This 500-nucleotide ribosomal RNA is filed under the name uncultured bacterium. RNAcentral's name for it is "partial 16S ribosomal RNA". It matches the Rfam family "Bacterial small subunit ribosomal RNA", at positions 30 to 523 of the family's 1533-position model. The record is from RNAcentral.